UCAAGCUACUAAGGGCAUGCGGUGAAUGCCUUGGCACUUAAAGGCGAUGAAGGACGUGAAAAGCUGCGAUAAGCAACGGUGAGGAGCACAUAUCCAUUGACCCGUUGAUUUCCGAAUGGGGGAACCCUAUAUACUACUGCCUGAAUUCAUAGGGCAGAAAGAGCUAACUCAGGGAAGUGAACCAUCUCAGUACCUGAAGGAAGAGAAAAUAAUAAUGAUUCUGGGAGUAGCGGCGAGCGAAACCGGACCAGCCUAAACCAGUUGGGCUUGCUCAACUGGGGUCGUGGGACCAGAUACAACGGAUCGAGAAGAUUAACGGAAAGGUGUGGAAAAGCCUACCAUAGGGCGUGAUAGUCGCGUACGUGAAAAUUUUCAAAAUCUAUUCUGGCACCCGAGUAAUGCGGGACACGAGGAAUCUUGCAUGAAUUUGCCGGGACCAUCCGGUAAGGCUAAAUACUCUUAAGUGACCGAUAGUGAACCAGUACCGUGAGGGAAAGGUGAAAAGAACCCCGGUGAGGGGAGUGAAAUAGUACCUGAAACCGCAUGCUUACAAGCAGUCGGAGGUCGCAAGACUGACGGCGUGCCUUUUGCAUAAUGAGCCGGCUAGUAAAUGUCACAGGCAAGGUUAAGGGAUAACCAAGCCGAAGCGAAAGCGAGUCUUAAUAGGGCGUUUAGUCUGUGGUAUUUGGACGUGAAACGGGAUGAUCUAGGCAUGGGCAGGAUGAAGCGUGGGUAACACCACGUGGAGGUCCGAACCAGUUAAGGUUGAAAACUUUUUGGAUGACCUGUGCCUGGGGGUGAAAGGCUAAUCAAAUUCCGUGAUAGCUCGUUCUCGCCGAAAUAUCUUUAGGGAUAGCCUCGGAUUUAUCAUUGUGGUGGUAGAGCACUGACUGGACUAGGGGCCUCACAAGGUUACCGAAUUCAAUCAAACUCCGAAUGCCAUAAAUGUAAUGUCCGGGAGUCAGACUACGGGUGCUAAGAUUCGUGGUCGAGAGGGAAACAACCCAGAUCAACAGCUAAGGUCCCAAAGUAAUAGUUAAGUGGAAAAGGAAGUGGGGAAGCACUGACAGCCAGGAGGUUUGCUUAGAAGCAGCAAUCCUUUAAAGAAAGCGUAAUAGCUCACUGGUCAAGUAGCCCUGCACCGACAAUAUAACGGGGCUUAAACUAUUCACCGAAGCUUUGAAUGUAUUUAUACAUGGUAGGCGAGCACUCUGUAUCUGUGAAGCGGAACCGUAAGGACCGUUGGAGAAAUCAGAGAAGACUUUGUCGGCAUUAGUAGCGAUAACGUAUGUGAGAACCAUACGCACCGAAAACCUAAGGUUUCCUGCGUCAAGUUAAUCUGCGCAGGGUUAGUCUGUACCUAAGGCGAGGCCGAGAGGCGUAGUCGAUGGAGAUCCGGUUAAUAUUCCGGAACCAUGGGUAUGUGAUGUGGGUUGACGCAUCAGGGUAGUCAAGACAGCCGAUGGAUGUGCUGUUGAAGUAAAUAGGCCGUAGCUUAGGAAAAUCCGGGCUACACAAGGCUAAAUACGCGGACGAAAGUACGGAGCUUCGGCUCCGGAACAAGUUGAUGACCCCAGAUGCCGAGAAAAUUCCCGUUCAUCUAUACAUACUCCACUGGCAGUACCGCAAACCGACACAGGUAGGUGGGAUGAGAAUUCUAAGGUGCUUGUGAGAACCCUCGUUCAGGAACUCGGCAAAAUGUAUCCGUAACUUCGGGAGAAGGAUAGCCGUGUUCACCAAGAACACGGUCGCAGAGAAAUGUUUCAGGCGACUGUUUAACAAAAACACAGGUCUCCGCAAAGUUGUAAAGACAACGUAUGGGGGCUGACGCCUGCCCAAUGCUGGAAGGUUAAGAGGAGUGGUUAGCCGCAAGGCGAAGCUGCGAAUCGAAGCCCCAGUGAAUGGCGGCCGUAACUAUAACGGUCCUAAGGUAGCGAAAUUCCUUGUCGGGUAAGUUCCG
RNAcentral lists this ribosomal RNA (1960 nucleotides) under sediment metagenome. Its description in RNAcentral is "bacterial LSU rRNA". It matches the Rfam family "Bacterial large subunit ribosomal RNA", at positions 3 to 1985 of the family's 2925-position model. The record is from RNAcentral.